UACGGGGGGAGCAAGCGUUGUUCGGAUUUACUGGGCGUAAAGGGCGCGUAGGCGGCCAGCACACGUCAGUUGUGAAAUCUCCGGGCUUAACUCGGAAAGGUCAACUGAUACUGUGCGGCUAGAGUGCAGAAGGGGCAACUGGAAUUCUCGGUGUAGCGGUGAAAUGCGUAGAUAUCGAGAGGAACACCUGCGGCGAAGGCGGGUUGCUGGGCUGACACUGACGCUGAGGGCACGAAAGCGUGGGGAGCAAACAGG
This 255-nucleotide ribosomal RNA is filed under the name uncultured bacterium. Its description in RNAcentral is "partial 16S ribosomal RNA". It matches the Rfam family "Bacterial small subunit ribosomal RNA", at positions 524 to 776 of the family's 1533-position model. The record is from RNAcentral.